AACAUAGGCUGGUUAUUGUUCUCCAAUGCGGAUGCGUUUGUCGCGGUUCAGUGGCGGCGGCGGUGGAGCGGCGGGGACGUGCAUGAUUUCGGGCUCCGGAGCAGGACC
RNAcentral lists this unclassified non-coding RNA (108 nucleotides) under fungal sp. RNAcentral describes it as "partial internal transcribed spacer region". The record is from RNAcentral. Lineage: Eukaryota; Fungi.